RNAcentral lists this transfer RNA (72 nucleotides) under Urocitellus parryii (Arctic ground squirrel). RNAcentral describes it as "Spermophilus parryii (Arctic ground squirrel) tRNA". It matches the Rfam family "tRNA". From Rfam's summary of the family: Transfer RNA (tRNA) molecules are approximately 80 nucleotides in length. The record is from Rfam by way of RNAcentral. RNAcentral also lists the same sequence under 2 other names. Lineage: Eukaryota; Metazoa; Chordata; Mammalia; Rodentia; Sciuridae.
UGGAGUGUAGCUCAAUGAUCGAGCACUUGCCUGGCAUGUGUGAGGCCCAGGGUUCAAUCCCCAGCAUAGCAA